RNAcentral lists this ribosomal RNA (301 nucleotides) under uncultured bacterium. Its description in RNAcentral is "partial 16S ribosomal RNA". It matches the Rfam family "Bacterial small subunit ribosomal RNA", at positions 509 to 807 of the family's 1533-position model. The record is from RNAcentral.
CAGUAGCCGCGGUAAUACGGAGGGUGCAAGCGUUAAUCGGAAUUACUGGGCGUAAAGCGCACGCAGGCGGUCUGACAAGUCAGAUGUGAAAUCCCCGGGCUCAACCUGGGAACUGCAUUUGUGACUGUAUAGCUAGAGUACGGCAGAGGGGGAUGGAAUUCCGCGUGUAGCAGUGAAAUGCGUAGAUAUGCGGAGGAACACCGAUGGCGAAGGCAAUCCCCUGGGCCUGUACUGACGCUCAUGCACGAAAGCGUGGGGAGCAAACAGGAUUAGAUACCCCUGUAGUCCCUGUCUCUUAUAC